AAAGUCCAAUAUUCUAACCUUAUUCCUCUAAAGGGUCUGAUAGCAAAACAUAACAUGAAAGUCUAUCCCUUAUCACCGAAGUGAAUCUUGAGGUAAAGCCAAUACGUCACUGAAACCCGUUAUGGCUAGAGUGGCAGUAUGGGUGGAACAAAAUUCCAAGGGAAACUGGUUGGUUGAAUAGGCCCAGGCCCCAAGGGAAUCUCAUCCAAAGUUAUGUUUGAAUGAUGCAUAGGGAGAAAUGAUUUAAAAUCUCCAUCACCUAAAAGAGGGAUCACAGUAAAUGGAUGUAUAAAAGAUACAUGAACUCUCAAGUGGAGUUACUUCUGUCAGCAAUACGGGUUUCUCUUCUAGCGCUUGUCUCAAUGUUGAGAUUCAAUGUUUAAUUAUAAAUGGGCAAUCAAUUUUUUGGCCAAAGUCAAUCAAUUUAUUUAUGAAUGGAAAAUUGAUGCUGAUUUUCAAGAUCACAGUCUUAUCUUUAUUAAAGAAUUUGGUUUUGAUAUAGUAAACAGGAUAUUAGAGAAAUCGAAACUCAAAAUCUUAUAGGGAUAAAUCCAAUAUCUAUUUAUCUAUUUUAUAUCAAAUCACGAUUGACUUAAAAAUUAAAGAUCAUGUCUCUCAUUUUAUUCCAGAUAACAAGAGAUUUAUAUAAAUAAUUUAUAUGUCCCGCACUGUUACAUAUAUAUCUAGACAGAUACGUAUAGGUUUGGCAGCCUCAGGUGAUUUAUCAACCAUUAGAAUGAUGCUGGCAUUGUAUUAUCAAGCAAAUAUAUAUAAAGUACAACAGUUUGUGCCUUAUUAUUAUAAAGUGGGAAAGUGUAACAAGAGAAGUAUGGAAUCCAACUAAGUAUAAAUGGCAUAUUAUAAUGAAAAUUUAUAUAAGGUGCCUCGAAGGCAUAUUUAUACAACCCAUUUCAUACACUUAAUUUAUAUGACAAGAUUCUGUAGAUGUAAAUUUACAUAAAAAAAUCCAUCACCUUUAAUGGUAAAAUAAAUCGUAAUUUUAGCUAUAUGUCAUAGCAUCAUGUGUUCUUAAGAAUACACAAUCAUGAUCAUGGAUGAAAUGUCUCGUGCUUUUAACUUCAAGAGAGACCUAAAAUGCUUAAGUUUUGGGAAGAAUACUUGAGCAGAUCACCUAGUACAAGAUUCGAGAUGAAUUAGAGUGCUAAGGUGGAACAGAAGAACCAGCAACCGCAAUCUAGAUUGAGGGCUGAUCAAUGACAGAGGGAGAUGAUCUACGGUAGAAGCAACAAUGGAUCCAUCGGCUAAUGGGAGUUUCGAUUGGUUGAGGUCUAUAACCUGGGUUUCCUGUACCGAUUAACUCCAUGAUGUACCGAGUGAUUAUCACAGAUAAAUUUGAUUGUCAAGCUAGAUCUUAGGACGAACAAAGUUCCUAGCUUAUUAACAAAUUUGAUGAUAGGUUAAAAGGGGUUUCUUCACGUUUUAAAUGGUGAAUAGGAAGACUUUAAAGAUAAAGAGACGUCUAUGGUGAUGUUAAGAUAAUAAUGGGCAACGUUUGAGGAACUUGAAACGUUAUGAAAGAGUGAAUUAUUUUGGGAUGUCAACAAUACUCUUGGUUAUUUGGUGAGUAAAAUGUUUUUGUAUUAGGGAUUUGGAAUGAUUGAUGGUUUUUUAUUUAGCCUAUGUUUUGAAUUGAUCAUAACUUUUGUUUGGUUAAGUUAUGAAAAGGAAAGAAAAUGAAAUAUUAUAUUAUAUUGCUCUAAUUAUACUCUUUUAAAAUAAAAUAUUUUUUAUCAUGUGAAUAAUCUUAAUAUUAACUAUUUUAAAAAUUUUUAAAAAUUAAUAAAAAUAAUUUCAAUUAAAAAGAAUAUUAUUAAUAAUUAAUUCAUAAAAAUAUAUGCUUAGAAUUAUUUUUAUACUAUAAUAUUUUUUAAAAAAUUAAUCUAUAAAUGAGAAAAUUAAAAACUUAAAUAUUUAUUGUUAAAAUAAAACUAACCAUAAAUUUGUUUAGUAUUAGCAUUUUCUUGCUGUUGUACGUAUUUUGUCAUAUUUUUAUUAUUUAAAAUUUGUAAAGUCAUAACAAAAUGAAAAAAAAAAAACCUAAGUAUAAAUUAAAAAUAUAUAAAAUUUGAAGUUAUGGACAAAAAAAAGUUGAGAAUAAAUUACGAAAGAUUUAAAGGUAACGUUAAUGGUUAACAUCCCUGGUUAAACUUGAAUAUUGUAAUAGUAUUUUUUAAAAAAUGAUAAAAUAUAAUGAAGACAUUUAUACUUAAAAAAUUUUAAUUAAUUCCUUUUUUCCUAUUUACACCAAUUUAGGAUAAUUAACAAUUGAAGCUUUUGAGAAAAAAGGAGAGAUAAUCAAUUUUAUUUUAUUUUUAUUAAAAUAUAAAUGAUCAACCGAAUAAAAUUUUUUUUUUCUUAUUUCCCUUACUUUCCUUUUCUGUCUUCACUUUUUCUUUUUUUUCCCUCAUCUUCUUUCAAUCUAAACAUAACGUUAGUGUUUAUGCUAUGGAUUGUGUGUCGAUCGGCUAAAGGUCUGUUUAUUUGUUGAGUUUGUGUUUAAAGUUUUUAUGAAACAUUGACAAAUUGUUAGGGGAAAGUUUGGGAUAAACAGGAGGCUUUGGUUAAGAUUUUCGUUCCCUCAUCUUCUUUCAAUCUAAACGUAGUGUUAGAGUUUAUACUAUGGACAGUGUGUCGAUCGGCUAAAGGUUUGUUGAUCUGUUGGGCUUGUGUUUUUGGUUUCCAUAAAAUAUUGACAAAUUGUUAGACAAAAAUUUGGGAUAAACGGGAGGCUUUGGUUAAGGUUUUGGACUAUUUCGAUAGCUGGGCAACUUAGGAAACCUAUUUUAAGGGACAGAAAUGGAAGAAACUUAAAGAUUUCUUCAAAAUUUUAGGAAAGACUUUUGGAGAGAUUUAUAAUUGAAUUUCUUGUAAAAGGAGAAAAAAUAACUAGAGGUUUGUUAAAUGAAAAAAUAGAUAGGACUAUUUAUAGACAAAGAUUAAGGCCAAUUUGAGAAUGAUUAGACCUUUUAUCUGUUAUCUUAUAAUUCUUUUGGAUAAUUAUCUCAGGAAUUAUCCAGUUAAUAAUUCAUUAGAAUUAUCACCUUCAUCCUUAUCGUACAAUGCGAAUCGAUAGGGAUAGAGCACUGUCGACUGACGAGGUCUUCUUUUCAAUCGAGUGGUGGAUGUGUAUGUCGAUCGGUGUCCUUCGCUUGGACUUAUUUUAAGCCCAAAAUUAUGUCCAAUUUAUAAUCUUAUUUCAAAUUGUUCCAAAUCCAUCCUCUGUUGGGGUUGAGAUAGGCCUGUCAAUUGGUCAGAG
RNAcentral lists this long non-coding RNA (3277 nucleotides) under Durio zibethinus. Its description in RNAcentral is "long non-coding RNA (DZIB_LNC000406)". Lineage: Eukaryota; Viridiplantae; Streptophyta; Magnoliopsida; Malvales; Malvaceae. The record is from RNAcentral.